GUUUAUGUUCCCAAACUAGCACUCAAGGUCAAAAGUCACAAAAAUAUCACUUAAUAUUUUAUCAAAAGUCACAAACUUAGGGUUUAGAGUUAAAGGGUGGGGUUUAGGAUUUAGGAUUUAGGGUUUAGGGUUUAGAUUUUAGGGUUUAGAGUUUAGGGUUUAUGGUUUAGGGUUUAGAGUUUAGGGUUUAGGGUUUAUGGUUUAGGGUUUAGGGUUUAGAGUUGAGAAAUGAGGUUUUGGGGAUAAGAUUUCAAAUUUUGAAAAAUAAAAAAAUUAAAAUUUUCAAAGGAUAAACUUAGAAAUGUGCUAUUUUGGUCGUUUUAGUUUUUGAGUGCUAUUUUUGUG
This 345-nucleotide long non-coding RNA is filed under the name Brassica napus (rape). Its description in RNAcentral is "long non-coding RNA (BNAP_LNC012151)". Lineage: Eukaryota; Viridiplantae; Streptophyta; Magnoliopsida; Brassicales; Brassicaceae. The record is from RNAcentral.